RNAcentral lists this ribosomal RNA (253 nucleotides) under uncultured bacterium. RNAcentral's name for it is "partial 16S ribosomal RNA". It matches the Rfam family "Bacterial small subunit ribosomal RNA", at positions 524 to 776 of the family's 1533-position model. The record is from RNAcentral.
UACGGAGGGAGCUAGCGUUGUUCGGAAUUACUGGGCGUAAAGCGCACGUAGGCGGCGAUUCAAGUCAGAGGUGAAAGCCCGGGGCUCAACCCCGGAACUGCCUUUGAAACUAGAUUGCUAGAAUCCUGGAGAGGUUAGUGGAAUUCCGAGUGUAGAGGUGAAAUUCGUAGAUAUUCGCAAGAACACCAGUGGCGAAGGCGGCUCACUGGCCCGAUACUGACGCUGAGGCACGAAAGCGUGGGGAGCAAACAGG